Molecule: ribosomal RNA, 253 nt
Filed under: uncultured bacterium
Lineage: Bacteria
Description: partial 16S ribosomal RNA
Rfam family: Bacterial small subunit ribosomal RNA
Source: RNAcentral
UACGUAGGGUGCGAGCGUUGUCCGGAAUUACUGGGCGUAAAGAGCUCGUAGGUGGUUUGUCGCGUUGGUCGUGAAAACCUGAGGCUUAACCUUGGGCGUGCGGGCGAUACGGGCAGACUGGAGUACUGCAGGGGAGACUGGAAUUCCUGGUGUAGCGGUGGAAUGCGCAGAUAUCAGGAGGAACACCGGUGGCGAAGGCGGGUCUCUGGGCCGUAACUGACGCUGAGGAGCGAAAGCAUGGGGAGCGAACAGG